This 441-nucleotide ribosomal RNA is filed under the name uncultured bacterium. RNAcentral's name for it is "partial 16S ribosomal RNA". It matches the Rfam family "Bacterial small subunit ribosomal RNA", at positions 338 to 795 of the family's 1533-position model. The record is from RNAcentral.
CCUACGGGGGGCUGCAGUGGGGAAUAUUGCACAAUGGGGGAAACCCUGAUGCAGCAACGCCGCGUGAAGGAAGACGGUUUUCGGAUUGUAAACUUCUGUUCUUAGUGAAGAAUAAUGACGGUAGCUAAGGAGCAAGCCACGGCUAACUACGUGACAGCAGCCGCGGUAAUACGUAGGUGGCAAGCGUUGUCCGGAAUUACUGGGUGUAAAGGGAGCGCAGGCGGGAAGCCAAGUCAGCGGUGAAAACUACGGGUUUAACUUGUAGGCUGCAGUUGAAACUGGUUUUCUUGAGUGAAGUAGAGGUAGGCGGAAUGCGGGGUGUAGCGGUGAAAUGCGUAGAUAUUCGGAGGAACACCGGUGGCGAAGGCGGCCAACUGGGCUUUAACUGACGCUGAGGCUCGAAAGUGUGGGGAGCAAACAGGAUUAGAUACCCUAGUAGUC